RNAcentral lists this long non-coding RNA (933 nucleotides) under Sinocyclocheilus anshuiensis. Its description in RNAcentral is "lncRNA (ENSSANG00000036678.1)". The record is from RNAcentral. Lineage: Eukaryota; Metazoa; Chordata; Actinopteri; Cypriniformes; Cyprinidae.
ACUCUUCACAGAGAACCACAGGAUGUCUACAGCAAACUGUUCAGGUAAACUUUUCUUUGAUAAAAAGUCACAUGCCACAUUAUUUCAAAUGUGUUUUUUUUUCUUUCUUUGUAAAAUGAGAGUAGCUUAUUUAAGUUGAUUCAUUUUAUUCAUCUGUUUUAUACUGUCAGUCAUGUAGACACCAGUCAUAAAUAGUUUAGAAUGUGUUUCAGUGUAAUUCUAAUAGAGGACGUGAAUUGUUUUAGAGCUGGAUCUGGAGUUGGGAGACUUGCUACAGGAGUUUAAUGAUGUUGUGAAGGAGUUGAGCACACCUUACGCCUCUGAACAUCUGCGGGGAGAUGUGAAGAGACACACAGCACUGACUGAUGGAGACGACUCAGACUACUGCAGCGAAGCUUCGCUGGUAAACAGCUUGAAUGCCAGUCAAGAGGAGCUCAACAUCCCAAGCAUGAGUACAGCCCCAAAAGCCAGGCUCGGGGACACCGGCGACCUACAGAGCUUCAUUGAAAACCUGGAUAGAGAGCUUGCAGAGAUGUGAGAUGACAGGACACACGUGAUCAGAGAGAACGCUGAGCACCUGAAGAGCUGGCAUUUAGCAAAGCGCAAUCUCUGCUUCCACACAUAGAAAUUAGGCUGAAGAAAAACAGCUUGAAGGCUUCAUUUUUUCCCCUUCACUAAGGAACGAGAGCUCACGGUGACUUUUAAUUGGUCAAGACUGUUUGGAAGAAUUACCAAGUUUCUCAGAAGAUGUUUUAUUUUAGUAAAUACUUACUAAAUUUAUAUGAAAAGCACAAUGCCUUGUAAGUUAUGACGAUUAAUGUUAAUACCUAUUUUUCACUAUAUAUAUUGUAAAAAUAUCAGUGUUACCAGGUUCAGUGUAAUGUGUAAUAUUAAUUUAACCUUGUAAAGAAUUUUUAAUAAUAAAAGUUUUUG